Molecule: long non-coding RNA, 609 nt
Filed under: Spirodela polyrhiza (greater duckweed)
Lineage: Eukaryota; Viridiplantae; Streptophyta; Magnoliopsida; Alismatales; Araceae
Description: long non-coding RNA (SPOL_LNC000131)
Source: RNAcentral
UUCCGGCCCCUCUCUCUGCGCUGCGUCUCCUCCUCCUCCUCCUCCUCCUCCUCCUUCUCUUCUUCUUCUUCUUCUUCUUCUUCUGGGGAGAUCGCGGGAGGACUUUUUCGCCCGGGAUCGCCGCCCGGUGGGCAUUCCGUAGGUCGUACCCUGCGGGGGCUGUCGCCGCCGAUCGCCGUCGCCGGCCGGGGGGGCCUUCCUUUCCCGGUUGAUGGGCCGCCUGGUUCCACUUCUUCUCGGCAGCCGGUUAUGAAGGGGUUCCAAUGCUUCGCGCCCUAGCCAUCCACGAGAGGUUCUACCUCUUCCUCUUCCUCUUCUUCUUCUUCUUCCCUCUUUGGAGAUCUCCGUUUUGGCUCUCUGAUGAUGUGAUGCGGCUUGUGGGUGUCUGUCCUGGGGCCGUCGUCGGGCUCUGGUGCCGGGUGUAGAGUUGCCACCCGCCCGUGCCCUGGGAAUCGGCGGUCUUUCCUUUUCCAGCGACGAGGGUUCGAAUUGCUCGUCGCGCUCAGAAGCUUCCCCCUGUUCUUGAUUUCUCCGAUCCCUGUGAGGCCGGUGGCUCUGGUGAGGGGCGCCGAUCUGAAUCGUAGAUGUAGCGGGCAUUGCGGAGGCUGU